This 253-nucleotide ribosomal RNA is filed under the name uncultured bacterium. RNAcentral's name for it is "partial 16S ribosomal RNA". It matches the Rfam family "Bacterial small subunit ribosomal RNA", at positions 524 to 776 of the family's 1533-position model. The record is from RNAcentral.
UACGUAGGGUGCAAGCGUUGCCCGGAAUUAUUGGGCGUAAAGAGCUCGUAGGCGGUUUGUCGCGUCUGCUGUGAAAACUCGGGGCUUAACUCCGGGCCUGCAGUGGGUACGGGCAGACUAGAGUGCGGUAGGGGAGACUGGAAUUCCUGGUGUAGCGGUGAAAUGCGUAGAUAUCGAGAGGAACACCUGCGGCGAAGGCGGGUUGCUGGGCUGACACUGACGCUGAUGCGCGAAAGCCAGGGGAGCAAACGGG